CAUCUGUGAUUAUCCUAUUCUGAACCUGAAUUUAUACUAGAAAAAACUUAUAUGAAUCUGGCUUCUGAGAU
Small nucleolar RNA from Gorilla gorilla gorilla (western lowland gorilla), 71 nucleotides. It matches the Rfam family "Small nucleolar RNA SNORD50". Rfam says of the family: U50 belongs to the C/D class of snoRNA which contain the C (UGAUGA) and D (CUGA) box motifs. Most of the members of the box C/D family function in directing site-specific 2'-O-methylation of substrate RNAs. Lineage: Eukaryota; Metazoa; Chordata; Mammalia; Primates; Hominidae. The record is from Rfam.